GGAUAAUUAACAUUGAUACAUGUAUCUGGAGUAGUAAAAUUCUGUGACUACAGUAAGAUGACUAGCGUGGCUGAUACAGAUUAGUUCCAUAAUUCACAUCUGAAACUACAUGAUGAGAACUGUAGGGGCAAUAUAUAUAUAUAUUAAACACUAGAAACCGUGUAUGAUUGCUGGACGUGGAAUAUGCCUUAGAUUUUUCUGCAAAUACAUGACUCCACUGCAAUGUUCAUUCUCUUGGUCUGGCAAGCCAAAGAGAACUAAGAGCACGUAGUCUGGAGAAGUAGUCAUGGAUGGCAAGAAGUGCACG
RNAcentral lists this unclassified non-coding RNA (307 nucleotides) under Hevea brasiliensis (rubber tree). The record is from RNAcentral. Lineage: Eukaryota; Viridiplantae; Streptophyta; Magnoliopsida; Malpighiales; Euphorbiaceae.